Molecule: ribosomal RNA, 301 nt
Filed under: uncultured bacterium
Lineage: Bacteria
Description: partial 16S ribosomal RNA
Rfam family: Bacterial small subunit ribosomal RNA
Source: RNAcentral
CAGCAGCCGCGGUAAUACGAAGGGUGCAAGCGUUAAUCGGAAUUACUGGGCGUAAAGCGUGCGUAGGCGGUUUGUUAAGUCUGCUGUGAAAUCCCCGGGCUCAACCUGGGAAUGGCAGUGGAUACUGGCAAGCUAGAGUGUGUCAGAGGAUGGUGGAAUUCCCGGUGUAGCGGUGAAAUGCGUAGAGAUCGGGAGGAACAUCAGUGGCGAAGGCGGCCAUCUGGGACAACACUGACGCUGAGGCACGAAAGCGUGGGGAGCAAACAGGAUUAGAGACCCCUGUAGUCCCUGUCUCUUAUAC